This 253-nucleotide ribosomal RNA is filed under the name uncultured bacterium. Its description in RNAcentral is "partial 16S ribosomal RNA". It matches the Rfam family "Bacterial small subunit ribosomal RNA", at positions 524 to 776 of the family's 1533-position model. The record is from RNAcentral.
UACGUAGGGUGCGAGCGUUGUCCGGAAUUAUUGGGCGUAAAGAGCUCGUAGGUGGUUUGUCGCGUUGUCCGUGAAAACUCACAGCUCAACUGUGGGCGUGCGGGCGAUACGGGCAGACUGGAGUACUGCAGGGGAGACUGGAAUUCCUGGUGUAGCGGUGGAAUGCGCAGAUAUCAGGAGGAACACCGGUGGCGAAGGCGGGUCUCUGGGCAGUAACUGACGCUGAGGAGCGAAAGCGUGGGGAGCGAACAGG